This 426-nucleotide ribosomal RNA is filed under the name uncultured bacterium. RNAcentral's name for it is "partial 16S ribosomal RNA". It matches the Rfam family "Bacterial small subunit ribosomal RNA", at positions 354 to 796 of the family's 1533-position model. The record is from RNAcentral.
GUGAGGAAUUUUCCGCAAUGGGCGAAAGCCUGACGGAGCAAUGCCGCGUGAAGGAUGAAGGCCUAUGGGUUGUAAACUUCUUUUCUUAGAGAAGAAUAUUGACGGUAUCUGAGGAAUAAGCACCGGCUAACUCCGUGCCAGCAGCCGCGGUAAUACGGAGGGUGCAAGCGUUAUCCGGAUUCACUGGGUUUAAAGGGUGCGUAGGCGGAUAAAUAAGUCAGUGGUGAAAUCAACGGGCUCAACCUGUUAACUGCCAUUGAUACUGUGUAUCUUGAAUAUGAGAGAGGUAGGCGGAAUGUUGCAUGUAGCGGUGAAAUGCUUAGAUAUGCUACGGAACACCGAUUGCGAAGGCAGCUUACUAUUUCGUAAUUGACGCUGAGGCACGAAAGCGUGGGUAGCGAACAGGAUUAGAAACCCUGGUAGUCC